Molecule: ribosomal RNA, 1379 nt
Filed under: Klebsiella sp. UIWRF0208
Lineage: Bacteria; Pseudomonadati; Pseudomonadota; Gammaproteobacteria; Enterobacterales; Enterobacteriaceae
Description: bacterial SSU rRNA
Rfam family: Bacterial small subunit ribosomal RNA
Source: RNAcentral
GUCGAGCGGUAGCACAGAGAGCUUGCUCUCGGGUGACGAGCGGCGGACGGGUGAGUAAUGUCUGGGAAACUGCCUGAUGGAGGGGGAUAACUACUGGAAACGGUAGCUAAUACCGCAUAACGUCGCAAGACCAAAGUGGGGGACCUUCGGGCCUCAUGCCAUCAGAUGUGCCCAGAUGGGAUUAGCUGGUAGGUGGGGUAACGGCUCACCUAGGCGACGAUCCCUAGCUGGUCUGAGAGGAUGACCAGCCACACUGGAACUGAGACACGGUCCAGACUCCUACGGGAGGCAGCAGUGGGGAAUAUUGCACAAUGGGCGCAAGCCUGAUGCAGCCAUGCCGCGUGUGUGAAGAAGGCCUUCGGGUUGUAAAGCACUUUCAGCGGGGAGGAAGGCGGUGAGGUUAAUAACCUCAUCGAUUGACGUUACCCGCAGAAGAAGCACCGGCUAACUCCGUGCCAGCAGCCGCGGUAAUACGGAGGGUGCAAGCGUUAAUCGGAAUUACUGGGCGUAAAGCGCACGCAGGCGGUCUGUCAAGUCGGAUGUGAAAUCCCCGGGCUCAACCUGGGAACUGCAUUCGAAACUGGCAGGCUAGAGUCUUGUAGAGGGGGGUAGAAUUCCAGGUGUAGCGGUGAAAUGCGUAGAGAUCUGGAGGAAUACCGGUGGCGAAGGCGGCCCCCUGGACAAAGACUGACGCUCAGGUGCGAAAGCGUGGGGAGCAAACAGGAUUAGAUACCCUGGUAGUCCACGCUGUAAACGAUGUCGAUUUGGAGGUUGUGCCCUUGAGGCGUGGCUUCCGGAGCUAACGCGUUAAAUCGACCGCCUGGGGAGUACGGCCGCAAGGUUAAAACUCAAAUGAAUUGACGGGGGCCCGCACAAGCGGUGGAGCAUGUGGUUUAAUUCGAUGCAACGCGAAGAACCUUACCUGGUCUUGACAUCCACAGAACUUUCCAGAGAUGGAUUGGUGCCUUCGGGAACUGUGAGACAGGUGCUGCAUGGCUGUCGUCAGCUCGUGUUGUGAAAUGUUGGGUUAAGUCCCGCAACGAGCGCAACCCUUAUCCUUUGUUGCCAGCGGUUAGGCCGGGAACUCAAAGGAGACUGCCAGUGAUAAACUGGAGGAAGGUGGGGAUGACGUCAAGUCAUCAUGGCCCUUACGACCAGGGCUACACACGUGCUACAAUGGCAUAUACAAAGAGAAGCGACCUCGCGAGAGCAAGCGGACCUCAUAAAGUAUGUCGUAGUCCGGAUUGGAGUCUGCAACUCGACUCCAUGAAGUCGGAAUCGCUAGUAAUCGUAGAUCAGAAUGCUACGGUGAAUACGUUCCCGGGCCUUGUACACACCGCCCGUCACACCAUGGGAGUGGGUUGCAAAAGAAGUAGGUA